RNAcentral lists this long non-coding RNA (729 nucleotides) under Marmota monax (woodchuck). Lineage: Eukaryota; Metazoa; Chordata; Mammalia; Rodentia; Sciuridae. The record is from RNAcentral.
GUUCAGGGCUGUAUUUAAGGUAGUUGAUAAAGUUAGAUCUAAGAUAUGGGCUAUGGUGGCAGUUAAGAUUAGGGCUAGGUUUAGGGUUAGGGUUAGGGCUAGAGUUACAUUUAGGGUAAGGGUUAGAGUUUGAGCUAGGGUUAGGACUAAGGCAAGAGUUAUGGUUAGGAUUUGGUCUAAGGUUUUGGUUAGGUUUACCCGUGUGGCUAGGGUUAGGGCUAGGUUUUGGGUUAGAUUUAUGGCUCUCAUUAGGGCUAUGGGUAAUGAAAGAGCCUGGUUUAUGAUUAUGGCUAAGUUUACGGUUAGGGUUAUGGAUAGGUUUAUAGUCAGGGUUAUGUUUUGGGUUAUAGUAAGGUUUAGAGAUAGGGUUUGUUUUAGGAUAAGCGUCAGUAUUCAGGUUAGCAUUGGGUUUAGGGUUAGGGCCAGAAUUAGAAGCAGGGUUAGGUCUAGGGGUAGGGUUAAUCUUUGUGUUAGGUUAAUAGUUAUUGUUAGGGCUAGGGCUAGGACUUUUUAGGGCUAGGGCUGGAGUUAUGGCUAUAUUUAGGAUUAAGUUUAGUUCUAGUGGUAGAAUUAUGGUUAGGUUAGGUAUAAGUUUACCAGUAAGGCUUGUGUUAUGGUUUGGUUUAGAGUUAGGGUCAGGAUUAGACCUAAAGUUAGUGUUAGGGUCAGAAUCAGGGUCAGGGUUAGGCUUAGGCUUUCGGAUAGGGUUAGAGAUAAAAUGAGGCCUGG